Molecule: unclassified non-coding RNA, 329 nt
Filed under: soil metagenome
Description: partial contains 5.8S ribosomal RNA, internal transcribed spacer 2, and large subunit ribosomal RNA
Rfam family: 5.8S ribosomal RNA (bases 2-120)
Source: RNAcentral
UAUGAAGAACGUAGCGAAAUGCGAUAAGUAAUGUGAAUUGCAGAAUUCAGUGAAUCAUCGAAUCUUUGAACGCACAUUGCGCCCUCUGGUAUUCCGGGGGGCAUGCCUGUUCGAGCGUCAUUAUAACCACUCAAGCUCUCGCUUGGUAUUGGAGUUCGCGAUCUCGCGGCUCCUAAAAUCAGUGGCGGUGCCUGUCGGCUCUACGCGUAGUAAUACUCCUCGCGAUUGAGUCCGGUAGGUUUACUUGCCAGCAACCCCCAAUUUUUACAGGUUGACCUCGGAUCAGGUAGGGAUACCCGCUGAACUUAAGCAUAUCAAUAAGCGGAGGA